GGCUAACGUUUAAACACCUCAAAUUCUCCGGUCAAUUUACCACCAACAACCACCACGUCGGAAGUCGCUUCCAGCGACGGUGGAACACCAAAAAAUCGAUACGACCCAUACAACCGUGGCAAUGAGCUAAAUACCAAUCUAGGUCAAUUUCACAAGGAAAUCACUCAAGGAUGCAAAUCGAUGAGAUUGAGCACAAGAACCCUAACCAAUCCAUGUUAAAUUAAACACUAAUGGACAUCUGAACCUAGCAAUAGUCAUGGGGGAAUGAACCAUAGCAACAUGAAGAACAAGAUUGCAUGAAGAAAAUGGUGAUAAGAGAAGUGAAGAUCCUACAAACGGGGACAUGAUUUUCCCCGGUAAUUGUUGCGAUUGAAGUUGGUGAAUGAUGGCACGAGAAACCUAGGUCAAAGCUGCGAAUUCCUUAGGUUAUGGCUUGUUCUUGGCAAGGUUUGUCUGCUGCAAUGACUUGCUUAUAGAAUGAUUUGUAUUGCCAAUGUUGUGUGGCAGAUUGCUUGCUGCAGAAUUAUAUUGGCAUGAGGAAUGCGGAUAUGGGCCACAAUUUUCCUUGAAAAAAAAUCGUGCAUCUAUUGGAAUGUUUGAUGUGGCUUUGGUUUGCUACAGUAGGUCAUGUUGCACUGGGUUUGCAAUGUUUGGCAUGUCUGUUUGUAUUGGCUUGUAUUGUUCUUCCUUGGAUUGUUAUGUUGAGCAGGAUGAGUGGUCUUUUAUUGUUGCAGAUGUAUUAUUGUUGCAGAUGUAUUAUUGUAUGAUGGAAUUCCAUUUGAAUGUAUUUGCUGCAGGUUUCACUUGGCAUGGUCUUGAUGUAGGCGUGGUGGGCAGAAUUGCAAGUCAUCUCCAAGGCAAGAAAGGCAAGUUCAAGCUAUAAUGACCAACUUGGCAAAAGCUUGAUUAAUGGAGUAAAUGGUGGCCAUGGAUGAUCAUGAGAUGCUACAAUGAUGAAGAUGUGAUUAAUGUUAAGAUCC
Molecule: long non-coding RNA, 980 nt
Organism: Lathyrus oleraceus (garden pea)
Lineage: Eukaryota; Viridiplantae; Streptophyta; Magnoliopsida; Fabales; Fabaceae
Exons: 4
Source: RefSeq, a predicted model, not a curated record